This 355-nucleotide unclassified non-coding RNA is filed under the name Hevea brasiliensis (rubber tree). Lineage: Eukaryota; Viridiplantae; Streptophyta; Magnoliopsida; Malpighiales; Euphorbiaceae. The record is from RNAcentral.
UGGCGUGGUCGUUCUGCACAAUUUUCUACUUCUGGAGAGGAGAGGUCCUGGGAUUCUCUUCGAGAAAACAGGGACUUGGGUGGGCGAUAUGACUCCAGACAGCCAGAUGCAAAUCAAUUUAAUCGUCAGGACCAACUCAAUUCUCAAUUUGCAAUAGCACAAAUCUCGUCUAAUCAAUUGGGAGGUCCUGCUCCAGCUUUAGUCAAGGCUGAGGUUCCAUGGUCGGCUAGAAGGGGGAAUCUUUCUGAGAAGGAACGAGUCUUGAAGACUGUUAAAGGUAUAUUGAACAAGCUUACCCCUGAGAAAUUUGAUCUUCUCAAGGGUCAACUCAUUGACUCUGGCAUUACAUCGGCCG